CCUGAACGCUGGCGGCGUGGCUAAGACACGCAAGUCGCACGGUGUAGCAAUACACAGUGGCGAACGGGUGAGUAAUGAAUCGCUAAAUGUACCCCGGACUCUGGGAUAGCUAUCCGAAAGGGUAGGUAAUACCAGAUGAUAUAUCUUUAUCGCAUGAUAGAGAUCUCAAAGGUCCGCCGGUCUGGGAGCAGGCGAUUUCGUAUCAGCUAGNGGUGAGGUAACGGCUCACCAAGGCACGACGCGUAGCCGGACUGAGAGGUUGGCCGGCACAUUGGGACUGAGACACUGCCCAGACUCC
This 298-nucleotide ribosomal RNA is filed under the name uncultured bacterium. Its description in RNAcentral is "partial 16S ribosomal RNA". It matches the Rfam family "Bacterial small subunit ribosomal RNA", at positions 30 to 339 of the family's 1533-position model. The record is from RNAcentral.